UGAAAGGCGUAAUGAUUUGGGCGCUGUCUCAACAAUAGACUCGGUGAAAUUUAAAUUCCAGUGAAGAUGCUGGGUACCCGCGACAGGACGGAAAGACCCCGUGGAGCUUUACUGUAGCUUGAUAUUGAAUGUUUGUGCUGCAUGUGCAGGAUAGGUAGGAGACUUUGAAGUCGGAACGCUAGUUUCGAUUGAGUCACCCUUGAGAUACUACCUCUGUUGUAUGAACGUUCUAACUCUGAUCAGUUAUCCUGAUCGAAGACAGUGUCUGGCAGGCAGUUUGACUGGGGCGGUCGCCUCCUAAAAGAUAACGGAGGCGCUCAAAGGUUUGCUCAGAAUGGUUGGAAAUCAUUCGUAGCGUGUAAAGGCAUAAGCAAGCUUGACUGUGAGACUGACAAGUCGAGCAGGUACGAAAGUAGGACUUAGUGAUCCGGUGGUUCCGUAUGGAAGGGCCAUCGCUCAACGGACAAAAGCUACCCCGGGGAUAAC
Molecule: ribosomal RNA, 486 nt
Filed under: Oenococcus oeni
Lineage: Bacteria; Bacillati; Bacillota; Bacilli; Lactobacillales; Lactobacillaceae
Description: bacterial LSU rRNA
Rfam family: Bacterial large subunit ribosomal RNA
Source: RNAcentral